Cucurbita maxima (winter squash) is the source of this 136-nucleotide long non-coding RNA. RefSeq lists it as uncharacterized. The record is from RefSeq and is a predicted model, not a curated record. Lineage: Eukaryota; Viridiplantae; Streptophyta; Magnoliopsida; Cucurbitales; Cucurbitaceae. The transcript has 3 exons.
UCAAUAGAGGUACGAGAAAGGGUUGGGGGCAAUGAAGUAGGUGAAGUGAUGAAUACUAAGGAGGCUUUGAUGGUAGCUAAUUGAAGACCGAGACAAUCUGAGCAUCUGGCGAAUCCAAUCCGUACAACCGGUAGUU